This 496-nucleotide ribosomal RNA is filed under the name uncultured bacterium. RNAcentral's name for it is "partial 16S ribosomal RNA". It matches the Rfam family "Bacterial small subunit ribosomal RNA", at positions 29 to 507 of the family's 1533-position model. The record is from RNAcentral.
ACGAACGCUGGCGGCGUGCCUAAUCCAUGCCAGUAGAACGCUGAAGAGAGGAGCUUGCUCUUCUUGGAUGAGUUGCGAACGGGUGAGUAACGCGUAGGUAACCUGCCUUGUAGCGGGGGAUAACUAUUGGAAACGAUAGCUAAUACCGCAUAACAAUGGAUGACACAUGUCAUUUAUUUGAAAGGGGCAAUUGCUCCACUACAAGAUGGACCUGCGUUGUAUUAGCUAGUAGGUGAGGUAAUGGCUCACCUAGGCGACGAUACAUAGCCGACCUGAGAGGGUGCUCGGCCACACUGGGACUGAGACACGGCCCAGACUCCUACGGGAGGCAGCCGUAGGGAAUCUUCGGCAAUGGGGGCAACCCUGACCGAGCAACGCCGCGUGAGUGAAGAAGGUUUUCGGAUCGUAAAGCUCUGUUGUAAGUCAAGAACGGGUGUGAGAGUGGAAAGUUCACACUGUGACGGUAGCUUACCAGAAAGGGACGGCUAACUACGUG